AACGCACAUUGCGCCCUCUGGUAUUCCGGAGGGCAUGCCUGUUUGAGUGUCAUUAAUCUCUCACAAAACCUUUUGGUUUCUGUCGAUGUUGGGAGUUGCGAUCUGCUUUUCGAAGUUUGGAACGCUCUCCUCAAAUGUAUUGGUGCGGCCUGCCGCCCGGUUACACAACGUUCUAGGUUCGUCCAACUCGUUGUCUAUGCCGGUGCAACUUUGGUGCUGCACCUAAAGCCCGCCUUGUGCCUUGUGCUCUUGGCUUAACUUCAUUUAUUGACCUCAGAUCAGGUAGGAAUACGCGCUGAACUUAA
This 305-nucleotide unclassified non-coding RNA is filed under the name Cladophialophora sp. RNAcentral describes it as "partial contains 5.8S ribosomal RNA, internal transcribed spacer 2, and large subunit ribosomal RNA". The stretch from base 1 to 52 matches the Rfam family "5.8S ribosomal RNA", at positions 103 to 154 of the family's 154-position model. Lineage: Eukaryota; Fungi; Ascomycota; Eurotiomycetes; Chaetothyriales; Herpotrichiellaceae. RNAcentral also lists the same sequence under 1 other name. The record is from RNAcentral.